AUGGCGGCUCAACUGCUGCGAUGGCGAUUUGGGCUGCUCUGGCGACGUUGCGACGACGCCGGCGAUGCUACAACUAUACCGUCAUGCUUCGAGCUAGUGCUGCAACAAUCAUUCCCAAGUAGCGAGCGGGCGCUGCGGCGCCAUCGCCGUGCUGCGAUGGGUCGCGUUGCUGCGAGCCGGUGCUACCGGCGCAGACGUGCUGCGCCGCCGCCGCUAUGUUGUGAGCUGAUGCUGCGAGGCCACCGGAGUUGCUACGACGGGUGGCGUUGGAGCGAGCCGGUGCUGCCGGCGCCACCGUGCAGGCCGCCAGAGUUGCUAGGCGCUAUGGUCAUGGCUGUGUUAUGCGGUGGGAAGAACAGAGGGAGAGAAGACUACGUUGACUUCUAUCGGCGGCUAGGGACACCCAGAUCGUACGGUUCAGCAGAUGGAUGUUGUUUCCUUUUGUGCAUCCGGAUGACGCCUAGCAGGCCCCUUCCUCAGUUCAUGUCUUUCUUUUACUUUUUAACCUAG
This 510-nucleotide ribosomal RNA is filed under the name Triticum aestivum (bread wheat). RNAcentral's name for it is "partial small subunit ribosomal RNA". Lineage: Eukaryota; Viridiplantae; Streptophyta; Magnoliopsida; Poales; Poaceae. The record is from RNAcentral.